RNAcentral lists this ribosomal RNA (253 nucleotides) under uncultured bacterium. RNAcentral's name for it is "partial 16S ribosomal RNA". It matches the Rfam family "Bacterial small subunit ribosomal RNA", at positions 524 to 776 of the family's 1533-position model. The record is from RNAcentral.
UACGGAGGGUGCAAGCGUUGUCCGGAAUCACUGGGUGUAAAGGGUGUGUAGGCGGGCCGAUAAGUCCGUGGUGAAAGCCUGCGGCUCAACCGCAGAACGGCCAUGGAUACUGCCGGUCUUGAGUGCUGGAGAGGUCACUGGAAUUCGUGGUGUAGCGGUGAAAUGCGUAGAUAUCACGAGGAACACCGGAGGUGUAGACGGGUGACUGGACAGCAACUGACGCUCAGGCACGAAAGCGUGGGGAGCAAACAGG